RNAcentral lists this unclassified non-coding RNA (219 nucleotides) under Hevea brasiliensis (rubber tree). The record is from RNAcentral. Lineage: Eukaryota; Viridiplantae; Streptophyta; Magnoliopsida; Malpighiales; Euphorbiaceae.
GCUAGACUAGAGGUAGGGAUGCAAAAUCAAUUCAAGCUCUGCUCAUUUUUAAACGAGCUUUCAAUUUAGACUCGGGCUUAGAUCCCUUGUUAUAUGAAACAUGCUAAGCCAACCACAAUCACAUUCAUAUGGAGCUCAUUUGUUCAACAAGACUAAACGAACCCAAAUAAAGUCAUGAUUGAAUAAAAUAACAUUUUAAGUUACCAAUGUAAUCAUUCA